GGAAUUCUGAGAUGUUUGUUCCGUUCUCAUUCGUGUUGACCGAACAAUUAUUAUUACCUUGGGAUCCAAACAAGCCAUGUGGAUAACAAGCCUUUUCAUUUGGAAGUUAGAAGCCUGACAUAGGAGCCCACCUGCAAACAUGCGGGUUCAAUACUCAGAGAACCAUAUAACGGCAUUAUCGGAUUUCCU
RNAcentral lists this non-coding RNA (189 nucleotides) under Isobaculum melis. RNAcentral's name for it is "6S / SsrS RNA". It matches the Rfam family "6S / SsrS RNA". From Rfam's summary of the family: E. coli 6S RNA was the first non coding RNA to be sequenced, but its function was unknown until recently. The record is from Rfam by way of RNAcentral. Lineage: Bacteria; Bacillati; Bacillota; Bacilli; Lactobacillales; Carnobacteriaceae.